Molecule: non-coding RNA, 285 nt
Organism: Vicia faba (fava bean)
Lineage: Eukaryota; Viridiplantae; Streptophyta; Magnoliopsida; Fabales; Fabaceae
Source: the annotation of a GenBank genome assembly
AUGUUGCACUGUGAUGCAAGGCUUGUUUUAGAUUAUUUUAUGCAUGAUAGGGACAAGGCAUUUGGGGCAGCAGGUUUUGGACAGUAUUGCAAGCUGUUUUCGCAGGGCCAUUUUUGUCUGGUUUUGACUGCUUCGAUAUCAGGUUUUAUGGCAGGUUUUGCAAAGGGUGUAAUAGGUUUUGGUUUGUGUGGAGAGCAUGUACGUAUAGGAGCAACAAGGCUGGUUUUGGCUGUAGCAGAAUUUGGAAGGGUUUGGCAUGUCCUUAUGGUGCAAGGUUUGAAGUAA